CUUUUUUUUUUUCCCAUUGCAUUCUCUGUUUUGGAAUUUGCUAUGUAAAACAGGCUGGUCUGGAAUGCACAGGUCUGAAUUCUGGGCAUGCCUAGUGUGUGCCUUCUUAGAACUAGCCCUUCCAGUAGGUAGAAUGCCAGUGUGAGUACCUUUAGCGUCUUCUACUUUGGCUGUAUUUGUCAUUUUAGUUAGGCACCCAUGGCUGCUAAGCUGAAAAUCUCUAAUGUUUCAGAUAUGAAAUCACUUACCUAUGGGUAUGAUUUCAUGUUUCAGUUAGUAACAAACUGUAAGAAAACUUGAUUAUUUAAAGUCAUUUACAAUGAGAAAUAAUGACAUAUACUGUUUGCUCAUAUCAAUCUUGUGAAUUAUGGAAUCUACUUUUGCUAAAAGGUCAGUUAUUCUCAACAGGUGUUGGUCAUAUAGAGCCUUUCCAAAUUAUUUGUGUGUUCUGCUUUAAAAGAUUUAGAAUUACUAUUUGGGAAAUGACCCUCUAGCUCAGUCUUAUAGGUGGAUAGGGAAGGAAUAGGGAUUUGAUUAUAAUUUCCUAGUACUAGGCAAAUUUAUUCAAAUAACUGAACUUUACGACUAGAAUGCAGGAACUAGGCAGUAGUGGAACAUGUCUUUAAUCCUAACCAGCAGCCCCCCCAGCAGAGCACCGGCUUUCCACGUAGCAGUCAGCCUUAUUACAACAGUCGCGGUGUAUCUCGAGGAGGGUCUCGUGGUGCCAGAGGUUUGAUGAAUGGAUACAGGGGCCCUGCCAAUGGAUUUAGAGGAGGAUAUGAUGGUUACCGCUCUUCAUUCUCCAACACUCCAAACAGUGGCUAUACACAGUCUCAGUUCAAUGCUCCCCGGGACUACUCUGGCUACCAGCGGGUAUGUAAAUAUAGGGUAAUUAAGUGAUUUGGGGUUAGUUUUAUGGUGUCCAUCAUGCAUUGUUAUAUGACUUUGGCUUUUUGAUUGUUUGUUUGAAAAAAA
Molecule: long non-coding RNA, 975 nt
Filed under: Rattus norvegicus (Norway rat)
Lineage: Eukaryota; Metazoa; Chordata; Mammalia; Rodentia; Muridae
Description: long non-coding RNA NONRATT019519
Source: RNAcentral